Long non-coding RNA from Capsicum annuum, 566 nucleotides. RefSeq lists it as uncharacterized. The transcript is spliced from 2 exons. Lineage: Eukaryota; Viridiplantae; Streptophyta; Magnoliopsida; Solanales; Solanaceae. The record is from RefSeq and is a predicted model, not a curated record.
UCAAUUUCAUACCUUUGAGAACAAUUCAUAUGAAGGUAAUGACGGAUUACGUGGAUUCCCACUUUCAAAAGGUUGUGGUAAUGACGGUCAUGAUUCAGCAUCAGAGAAAACUUAUGCUGAAUCUACGCUUGAUGAAGAAAGCAAUUCUAAAUUUCUGAAUGAUUUUUGGAAGGCCGCUCUUAUGGGGUAUGGAACCGGACUGUGUAUCGGAUUAUCCAUAAUAUAUAUAUAUCUUGAUCUCAACUGGAAAUAUGAAGUGGCUUGAAAUUGUUGAAGAGCUGGGACACAAAAUUAUGAUGAUAAGGAGAAAGAAGCAGCGAAGGCAAAGGAACUACAGAAGAAGAAAUAACCGCUUCUAGAAAAUUUACCAAUGGAGCAAGAUUUGAUUUCAGGAACUUACAGAUGUCAAGGAUAAGAAGACGUUGGCACAGUGGAGUUGGUUUAUUUUGAGAGAUGUCUGCAUCUACAUUUGUUCUUCUUUAGUUUGUAUUAAUAUACUUAAGCUUCAUUAACUUAAUAUAUUUUUCAAGUUCAUAUGCUUAAAUAUGAUUCAUAAUUUCAAACCA